RNAcentral lists this small RNA (148 nucleotides) under Trieres chinensis. RNAcentral's name for it is "partial Cyanobacteria transfer-messenger RNA". The record is from RNAcentral. Lineage: Eukaryota; Bacillariophyta; Thalassiosirophyceae; Eupodiscales; Parodontellaceae.
GAAGUGCGACGUUUUGCAAUUGAACGUCGGCCUUUACUGCAACCAGGCCUGCUCCCACUGCCACGUCGAAUCCAGCCCUCUCCGUCAGGAGGCCAUGUCGGCCGAGACGGCGGCGCGGUGCCUCGAGCUGCUGUCCCGAUCCGACUCG